AGUCGCAAGUUUGAAAAUGGAAGAAAUUAAUUUUAUACGUUAGUAUGGGUGCGGCUUAAAAUACUAUUUUAAUUUAAAUUUCCAUGGUGCUGCAAGGCUCUGCAAAAGUCUGCUGGACCAUUGGUCUGGCUUAUCAUGGGAACGUGUUUUGGCCGUUGCUUUAACGUCAAAAACACCAAGCCGUAUCGCUCACAGCGAACUAUGUACUUUCAACGAGAUGACAAUGUCGAGCAAUCACCACAACAAGAUCCUAAUCCAUCAAAAGGCCUCCCCAAAAGGUAACAUUGGAAUUGACAGAUGAUACUUUGCCAAGCAAUGAAUAUACCCAAAGGAUACCUAGAAAGCAACAGUCAUCAAGUCCAGUAGUUGUGGAUGUUCCACUGCAGCCCUUGGAUGCUCGUUCCUUAUUGGCUGCUCGAGCUGUGUUACAAACAGUUAGUCAGAGGGAGAAAAGUAUUGCUUCUUCCACCCCACCCAGUUCACUGGACCUUGAGUGGGAACAUGAAGGUUGUCUACCCAUUCAACUGCUACACUAUGCUGGUGUGACAGAAGAUGAUGGCUGUGAGUCUCCUGCAACUAAUGGUCAGAAUGGCAACAGUGCUGCCGGUAGCACAGCUUGGUCACGUAUCUCUACUCCUGAUUCGCUGGAAUGGGAUCCUGUAGAAGCACCACUUGCUGCAGUCAGUGAGAGGCCAGUGGAAGAGCUAGAUGCAGAGACUGAGCAGUUACUUAGCGAGAUAGAACGACUCACUUCUAGAGCUUUAAGAGAAACUGGAGACUGGAGCAGCUGAUCUCCAUUACUGUCUUCAGUUACCAUUGGAUGGGAGCCCUUGUCAUGAGCUUUAAAUAUCUGAACAGCUUGGGUUAAAUAUUUCUUGAAAUUCACUGAGCAGGUGUUCAAAUGUUGUGAGUUAAGAAACAGUCGUAACAUCACCAAUAACAGAUGUCUGUCAGUUUUUCAAAAUAUUUGUGAAUAAGCAAGUUUUGUUCACAUUUUUAUCCAAGGAAAUCUCUGGGCUGACAUUAUAUUCCCAGUACAGAUACAUCCUGAUUUGUGUAUUCUUGUACAUAACAGUUUCCACUCUCAACAUCCUCUAUUUACUCCGAUAUCUGCAGUGCAUUCCAUACCCUGUACCUCACUUUGAUUCAUUUUAGCGGUCUUUAUCUUCCAUGUGGAGACUUUGAUUUAUUUGUACAGCAUAGUAUAUUAUAGCAAGUAGAUAUUAUUUUGCAAUGUUAGCUUGUUAUUUAAUGGGAUAGUUAUAAGUAUAAAUAUCUUCUGUAAAGUGUUUCUGCUUCCCCUCAUGCACACCUUUAAAUGAUAGCAAAUUAACUCUUGAAAGUUAUAUGCUCACAACAGUGAAUCUAUGGAAAAAAAUGUCUUCAGUUUACACAUUUAUUCAUGGCAUUCUCCAUGAACACUGUAAUCACAUAAAUCAGGGUAUAGCUGCACUUUAUUCUCAGUCCACAGAGACAGAAUUUUAUUAUUGCAGGUAGUAAUGAGAAUACUGGGCCUAUUACCUUGGUGAUAGAGCACUUACAUUCUCCUUUGAAUAUCAGUCAGCAGUGACUGUUCUCUCUUUGGUUUUCUUCAGGCUUCCCAGGUAUGUGGUUGAUUUUUUUUUCAAAGGGUCCCAUCAGCCAUUGUGAUUUGUUUUCAUUUUUUUUAUUUUUAAUUAUUAGAGAUAUACACUUCACAAGAACAAAGAAUAAGUUUCCCAUCCCUCCUUAACUCUUCAGUUAACACUCCACUAGAACACAUCUGUCAUCUGAAGUUGGUAUUUGCCACUUUCCCACUGCAUCAGUAUGGGUUUGAUUCCAGGUCAGGUUGUGUGGGAUUUAUGGUGUACAAAUUGGCUGUGGGGCAGA
Molecule: long non-coding RNA, 1869 nt
Organism: Cryptotermes secundus
Lineage: Eukaryota; Metazoa; Arthropoda; Insecta; Blattodea; Kalotermitidae
Exons: 6
Source: RefSeq, a predicted model, not a curated record